This 518-nucleotide ribosomal RNA is filed under the name Taophila cancellata. RNAcentral describes it as "partial 12S ribosomal RNA". Lineage: Eukaryota; Metazoa; Arthropoda; Insecta; Coleoptera; Chrysomelidae. The record is from RNAcentral.
ACAUUUUUUAGAGCCAAAUUCAAUUUAGUUAAUAACCAAAAUUACAUUCAAAUCCAAAUUCAAAAUUAUAAUAUUAAAAUUUAUCCUAAAAUAUAUUCAUUGUAAUCCAUUUCCAUCUUAAAUAAGCUGCACCUUGAUCUGAUUUUUAAUAUAAUUAAAUAUUAAAAUUAUAUACUUCAAAAAAUAAUUUUUAACGACGAUAUACAAGCAAAAUUUAAGUAUUAUUAAUCGUGGAUUAUCGAUUACAGAACAGAUUCCCCUGAUUGGAAUAAAAAACCGCCAAAUUUUUUGAUUUUAAAGAACAUAACUAACAUUUUUCAAGUCUAAAAUCUUUAAUCUACAUUCUAGAAUAAUGGGGUAUCUAAUCCCAGUUUAAAAUCUAAAUUUCUUAACCUCAUAAUCAAAAAAAUAAUUAAACUUAAAAUAAAAUUUCACCUAAUAUUUUAAGAAGUAAAUAAUCACUUUAUAUUAAUUAAAUAUAACUGAUAAAAAAUAGUAGCAUUAUUUGUUUAACCGCA